AAUGAACGUUGGCGGCGUGGAUUAGGCAUGCAAGUCGAGCGCGAACCGUAGCAAUACGGGGAGAGCGGCGAAAGGGAGAGUAAUACGUGGAUACCUGCCCUCGGGUUCGGGAUAGCUACGGGAAACUGUAGGUAAUACCGAAUAACAUCUUCGGAUCAUAGGUGUGAUUCCGCCCGGGGAGGUGUCCGCGUCCUAUUAGCUAGUUGGUGAGGUAACGGCCCACAAAGGCGAAGAUGGGUAUGGGGUGUGAGAGCAUGACCCCACUCACUGGGACUGUGACACUGCCCAGACACCUACGGGUGGCUGCAGUCGAGAAUCUUCGGCAAUGGGGGAAACCCUGACCGAGCGACGCCGCGUGCGAGAUGAAGGCCUUCGGGUUGUAAAUCGCUGUCAGAGGGGAGGAAAUGCCGGGAAGUAAUUCAUAAUCAACUCGGUUUGACCUAGCCUCAGAGGAAGGACGGGCUAAGUUCGUACCAGCCGCCGCGGUAA
Molecule: ribosomal RNA, 489 nt
Filed under: uncultured bacterium
Lineage: Bacteria
Description: partial 16S ribosomal RNA
Rfam family: Bacterial small subunit ribosomal RNA
Source: RNAcentral